This 29-nucleotide non-coding RNA is filed under the name Rattus norvegicus (Norway rat). The record is from RNAcentral. Lineage: Eukaryota; Metazoa; Chordata; Mammalia; Rodentia; Muridae.
UGGUUACAAUNUGAACUAUUGCUGACACA